CAGUAGACAGUAUAUGCAGAUCCCUCGCCAGGUGAGACAGUAGACAGUAUAUGCAGAUCCCUCGCCAGGUGAGACAGUAGACAGUAUAUGCAGAUCCCUCGCCAGGUGAGACAGUAGACAGUAUAUGCAGAUCCCUCGCCAUGUGAGACAGUAGACAGUAUUUGCAGAUCCCUCGCCAGGUGAGACAGUAGACAGUAUUUGCAGAUCCCUCGCCAGGUGAGACAGUAGACAGUAUAUGCAGAUCCCUCGCCAGGUGAGACAGUAGACAGUAUAUGCAGAUCCCUUCGCCAGGUGAGACAGUAGACAGUAUAUGCAGAUCCCUCGCCAGGUGAGACAGUAGACAGUAUAUGCAGAUUCCUCGCCAGGUGAGACAGUAGACAGUAUAUGCAGAUCACUCGCCAGGUGAGACAGUAGACAGUAUAUGCAGAUCCCUCGCCAGGUGAGAUGGUAUGCAGUAAAUGUAGAAACUUCGCAGGGUGAGACAGUAAACAGUAUAUGCAGAACCAUCGCUAUGUGAGACAGUACACAGUAUAUGCAGAUCCCUCGUCAGGCGGGAUUGUA
Haliotis rufescens (red abalone) is the source of this 561-nucleotide long non-coding RNA. RefSeq lists it as uncharacterized. The transcript is spliced from 3 exons. Lineage: Eukaryota; Metazoa; Mollusca; Gastropoda; Lepetellida; Haliotidae. The record is from RefSeq and is a predicted model, not a curated record.